Molecule: long non-coding RNA, 771 nt
Organism: Cannabis sativa
Lineage: Eukaryota; Viridiplantae; Streptophyta; Magnoliopsida; Rosales; Cannabaceae
Exons: 2
Source: RefSeq, a predicted model, not a curated record
UUAUAACGCUAUUUACUUUUAUUUUUAUUAGGGAAUUUCUCAUCUCGUUUCGACCCAAUUAUGAAAUUCUUUGUCCUAUUUUCGAUAAAAAAAUAAACAAAAAUAGAGAUUAAAAUAUUAAAGGGAGAUAGGAAGCUGCUAUCACUCCUUACGAUUCCCCUAAAAUUUAUUAAGGAAAACGAUGUGCUUUGCCGGUUGUUUGGGUAAAAGUAACUGAAAGUGGUCUUGACACUUCUUUUUUCCCGAGAACCAAACAAUCCGCAAAAGAGAAAAUAAUUCAUUAAAGAUUUAAGCGAGGUUUUAUCAAGAAGGCUCUAGAAAACGAAACCCUAAUUCCGAAAAUCCAAUGGAACAUUCUCCAGCUUCUGAUGCUCAGCCCGUAUGUGCUCAGGAAGCUCUUGAUCUUCUCAAUUGCGUUACUCAAUCUCCUUACGAUCAAGACAAAUGCAUCCGUCUUUUGAAUUCUUUGCGAGACUGCGUUCUCACCAAGAAAGUGAAGAAGUUUUCAAUAGCUGAUCAGGAAGCAAAGCCAAGUGACAAGAAAAUUUGAUUGAAUUAUGUAUUGUUUUGGUAGAAAAUACUUGGAUGAAUUGUGUUGAUUGCUACAUUUUAUGAGAGUCUUCUUCUUCACUCUAUACACUUUUGUAAUUUGUAUAUCAAAUUCAGACGCUAACCUUUCUUCAUUAUUGAUUUGUUAAAAAAGAUGUUACUUUACUAUGAUUGCAUUUGCUACCACUUUUAAGGUUCAAUAAAGAUAACAUUUCCUCCCUA